This 1005-nucleotide long non-coding RNA is filed under the name Danio rerio (zebrafish). RNAcentral's name for it is "si:ch211-13i23.1 (ENSDARG00000097860.3)". The record is from RNAcentral. Lineage: Eukaryota; Metazoa; Chordata; Actinopteri; Cypriniformes; Danionidae.
GUUUUCUUUGUGUGUGUGGUUAUGUGAAUAAAGGAGAAAUUAGAAGAGGACUGCCUAGAUCGUGUGUUUGACUGAAACGUGAAUGGGUCUGCGGGUCUGCAGCUGGAUAAGCGUAUAACCAAUCAUUCACGUUCUGUUGAGCUAAUCAACGCAGUAGCCAAUCAGAGGCAGUUAGACAAGUCACCUCUGAAAUAGCAAACAGCUGAGUGUUGAAACAAUUGGUUGAAACCUGGUUGAAACGGGCUCGAGAUGAUGAUCCAAAAUGCUCUCGGAUAAAACAGAAGGUGUCCUGCUCCGGCCGAGUCUGGGUCCGUCCUCUUGGAAGUGGGACAGGCCUUUGGUAUGGUAACUAGGACUGGGGCUGGAGGAGGACAGGGUUCUCUGGCUCCCGUUUAGGUAACUGCCAUAGUUGACAGAGUCCCUCGAGUCCUGCCGUGAGUAGAAGGAGUUGAUUUGCGAGCCCCGGUAGUUGUACGCUCUCCAACCUGGCCGUCUCCUGCGGUGACAUCUGCAUUUGAGGAUGCGGAUGAAAGCCAGCUUGAACUCCCGGCUGUAGCAGGGGUAGAUGAUGGGAUUCAGGCAGCUGUUGAAGUAGCCAAGCCAGAAGAUGAUGGAGGAGACGGUUUCAGGAGGCCGAAGACUGGUGUUGAAUGAAACUGUGAAGAGAGAAGAAGAAGCACCAGCAUACACGUAAUGUCUUCACAACAGCGCUCCUGACAAGUUUGACUGCACAGAUGGCAACCGGUGAAUCAGACGCAUCACGUCAAGCCUGAACAACUGAGAUGACGCAUUUUUCGGCUGUUUUGGCUCUUUCUAUCACCUCGCUGUGCGCCUUUUUGGAUGGACGGGCAGAAGGGUGAGGAGGUGCGGAGCUGCACAGAUGGAGUGCCAGGCUUGGGUUGCAGUCCUGAAAUUGGAGGGUGUGAUGGGUGGAGACGGAGGGCUGGAAGGGGGUCGCUGGUUUGUGACAGACUCGUGGCUGGUGGCUGUGGAUGCAGGGCUAGG